CUACCGUUAGCGGUUCAAUCAGGAGAGCACACGGCCAUUGUUACAUUAUGAUACAGUCCUGCCUGUCUGUCAGCAGUGUUCCAGCUGAGACAUGUACAACACAUUACUAGUGUUGGGAAACUGGACAGGGACUGGUAGGCUGGUAAAUAGUUCUCCUAUUCUACCGUGGGUAGAGGACUGCCGACUACACUGUGGGUGUGGCAGUUUCACAAAGACAUAUGAACACACACAGACACAGAAGACCGGGAAGGGCAGCCCAACUAGUUGUUAUGAGGGGACGACAAAAUGGGCCUGCCAUCCCAUUACAGUAAUGGCCCCUCUGGGGGCUGGAUACCGCUCAGUUGGGGAAAGAGGACAGUCCAACAAAACCUGUCCGUCAGGCUCAAGAAAACUGCUGAACAUCCAUUGACAUCAUGCUCUUCCCAAGCCCAGACAGCACCCUGGGAAAGACAAUAAUGUCAGCAGAAACGUGUGCUUCUGUAGUGAAUAAUGUCAGCAGUAUCGUGUGCUUCUGUAGUGAAUAAUCUCAGCAGGAACGUGUGCUUCUGUAGUGAAUAAUGUCAGCAGGAACGUGUGCUUCUGUAGUGAAUAAUGUCAGCAGGAAUGUGUGCUUCUGUAGUGAAUAAUGUCAGCAGGAACGUGUGCUUCUGUAGUGAAUAAUGUCAGCAGGAACGUGUGCUUCUGUAGUGAAUAAUGUUAGCAGUAACUUGUGCUUCUGUAGUGAAUAAUGUCAGCAGGAACGUGUGUUUCUGUAGUGAAUAAUGUCAGCAGGAACGUGUGCUUCUGUAGUGAAUAAUGUCAGCAGGAACGUGUGCUUCUGUAGUGAAUAAUGUCAGCAGGAACGUGUGCUUCUGUAGUGAAUAAUGUCAGCAGGAACGUGUGCUUCUGUAUUGAAUAAUGUCAGCAGGAAUGUGUGCUUCUGUAGUGAAUAAUGUCAGCAGGAACGUGUGCUUCUGUAUUGAAUAAUGUCAGCAGGAAUGUGUGCUUCUGUAGUGAAUAAUGUCAGCAGGAACGUGUGCUUCUGUAUUGAAUAAUGUCAGCAGGAAUGUGUGCUUCUGUAGUGAAUAAUGUCAGCAGGAACGUGUGCUUCUGUAAGGGACACUGUCGUCAUUCAGGAAGGGAAGGAAGGAGAGACAGGGCUUGUACUUCAAGAGUUCGUAUGGCAUCUAGUGGUGUAGUUUGGGAAAUGUUGAUAUCCUGGGGACAGGUUUUUUAAGUUAUUUAUCUUAACAAUACCCGUCAGGCAGGAAAACAGGUUGACAGACAGACAUUCAGACAGGCAGGCAGACUUUAACAUGGUGGAGGUGUGGAGGAACCAAAUGCAGGCUGACUUGCAUUCAAAUAGUUGGAUUGAAUCAAAACAAAAAUGGAAUGCAAAAAACAAACUGAUACAAAGCAAAGGGCUGACGUUAUACAACAAAGCGAAACCAACACUCACCAGCUACGCGCGACAUAUAGUGACAAUAACCGACAAGUGAGGGGAGCAGAGGAGCAACAUUUAAACACAUCCUGAUGGGAAGAUUGGGCCCUGGUGUGGGUGAUUAUGGGAGACAUAAUUCCUGAAGUGACGGGAGCCGGGAGUGCACGGCACGAUGGCGCUGUUCAUCACCGUACAGUGACACAGACAGACAGGUAGAUCAUGCAGACACCUUUUAUGAAGGUAUAACACAAGUUAAAGAGGCCAUAUGUCUGAUUUGUGUGAUGCUACUUAAAAUAAAUACAAGCAUAAAUGGCCAAAAGACAUCUACAUCCAUCCAUCUUCUUCCGCUUCAUCCGGGGCCGGGUCGCGGGGGGCAGCAGUCUAAGCAGAGAUGCCCAGACUUCCCUCUCCCCAGACACUUCCUCCAGCUCUUCCGGGGGGACACUGAGGCGUUCCCAGGCCAGCCGGGAGACAUAGUCCCUCCAGCGUGUCCUA
This is a long non-coding RNA of Esox lucius (northern pike), 1915 nucleotides long. NCBI's taxonomy places the organism in Eukaryota, Metazoa, Chordata, Actinopteri, Esociformes, Esocidae. The record is from Ensembl.